CCCAGGUUCGUUCGACGACGGCGAUGACGGAGGCAAGGGUCCAUGAAAUACGGAGGUAGAAGAGGACGAAGAUGAGUGGGAGGAAGAGGGCGUAGGCAGUGAGGGUGAGGGUGAUUGAAGAGAAAGAGAAGGAGGGGGUUAGGAGGAAGAGGGGGAUUGGGAGAGAAAGGGAGAAGAGGAUGAGGUGGGAGAGGAUGAAGGUGGUGAGGAGAGGGAGGAAGGAGGAGAGGAGGGAGGUGAAGGCGGAGAUGAGUUUAACGGGACGACCGAAGAAGCCGUGGAAGAUGCUGUGGGUGAUGGUGGCGAGGGCGGAGAGGGAGAAGAUUAAGAGGAAGAGGGAUAGUAAGAGGAGUGGGAAGGGAAAGGGGGAAUUGAGAAAAGUGGUUUGAGCUUGGACUUGGGCUUGGGCUUGUGUGUGGGCUAGGCGAAGAAGGAUGUGGAUGGUGGAUGAAUUAGAAGGGGUGAGGAGGUGGAUGAUAGUGGGGGAGACGAUAAGGGAGAAGGAGAGGGGAAGAAGGAAGAAAACGGAGAGAGCGAGGAAGUGACGGGAGUGGGCGUUGAUUAUUCGCUUCGAUUCAGAUAGGAUUGACCACAAGUUGAGGUUU
RNAcentral lists this long non-coding RNA (605 nucleotides) under Cicer arietinum (chickpea). RNAcentral describes it as "long non-coding RNA (CARI_LNC002941)". The record is from RNAcentral. Lineage: Eukaryota; Viridiplantae; Streptophyta; Magnoliopsida; Fabales; Fabaceae.